Molecule: non-coding RNA, 74 nt
Organism: Desmophyllum pertusum
Lineage: Eukaryota; Metazoa; Cnidaria; Anthozoa; Scleractinia; Caryophylliidae
Source: the annotation of a GenBank genome assembly
GUUCCUAUAGCUCAGUGGUAGAGCGUCCGACUGGUGCGCGGAAGGGCGUGGGUUCGACUCCUGUUGGGAGAGCU